Molecule: ribosomal RNA, 490 nt
Filed under: uncultured bacterium
Lineage: Bacteria
Description: partial 16S ribosomal RNA
Rfam family: Bacterial small subunit ribosomal RNA
Source: RNAcentral
AUUGAACGCUGGCGGCAUGCCUUACACAUGCAAGUCGAACGGCAGCAUGAUCUAGCUUGCUAGAUUGAUGGCGAGUGGCGAACGGGUGAGUAAUACAUCGGAACGUGCCCUGUAGUGGGGGAUAACUAGUCGAAAGAUUAGCUAAUACCGCAUACGACCUGAUGGUGAAAGUGGGGGACCGCAAGGCCUCAUGCUAUAGGAGCGGCCGAUGUCUGAUUAGCUAGUUGGUGAGGUAAAGGCUCACCAAGGCGACGAUCAGUAGCUGGUCUGAGAGGACGAUCAGCCACACUGGGACUGAGACACGGCCCAGACUCCUACGGGAGGCAGCAGUGGGGAAUUUUGGACAAUGGGCGAAAGCCUGAUCCAGCAAUGCCGCGUGUGUGAAGAAGGCCUUCGGGUUGUAAAGCACUUUUGUCCGGAAAGAAAUGGCUCUGGUUAAUACCUGGGGUCGAUGACGGUACCGGAAGAAUAAGGACCGGCUAACUACGUG